Dipodomys spectabilis (banner-tailed kangaroo rat) is the source of this 498-nucleotide long non-coding RNA. RefSeq lists it as uncharacterized. The record is from RefSeq and is a predicted model, not a curated record. Lineage: Eukaryota; Metazoa; Chordata; Mammalia; Rodentia; Heteromyidae. The transcript has 3 exons.
UAAAUAUUAAAAAUUUAAAUGUAAAGGUUAGUUUUACACCGUCAAAGAUGUUACUUGUUCUGUCUAUCUAAAACUGUGUAUUUCAUUCGAGAACCAAGAGAUAAAAAAAAAGGGAAAACUUAGAAGCCAACAGAAGACCUAUCUUUAAGGGUGAGGAGUGAACAAGCACAAGUGCAGUCCAGCUGGUCAUGCAUGGUGGGACAGGCCCUGGGAGGAGUCCACGCAUGGUGAAAGAGGGAGGUGCCUCCUUGAGCCUAACGAAUAACUGAACCUGCUGGACGGGUCAAGUGGCGCCCAACGUGGGGCUCGAGGCACGGUGACCUACCCGACGGGGCUGGAGACGGGGAUCCCCAAUCAUUUAAGGGUAGAGACGCCCACAUCGCAUCACUCGUGCACCGUGGGAAGUCUUGAGAUGCAGCUAGAACUCCAGACGUGGACCUUCCUGUUUGAAUUAUUAAAUAACAGAUUAAUCUCUUGUCUUCUAAGCCCAUACAGGUU